UACAGAGGGUGCAAGCGUUGCUCGGAAUCAUUGGGCGUAAAGGGCAAGUAGGUGGUCUCGUUUGUCUGGGGUGAAAGCCUUGAGCUUAACUCAAGAAGUGCCUCAGAAACGGCGAGACUAGAGUACUGGAGAGGGUCGUGGAAUACCCGGUGUAGCGGUGAAAUGCGUAGAGAUCGGGUGGAACACCAGAGGCGAAGGCGGCGACCUGGACAGUAACUGACACUCAACUGCGAAAGCGUGGGGAGCAAACAGG
This 253-nucleotide ribosomal RNA is filed under the name uncultured bacterium. RNAcentral describes it as "partial 16S ribosomal RNA". It matches the Rfam family "Bacterial small subunit ribosomal RNA", at positions 524 to 776 of the family's 1533-position model. The record is from RNAcentral.